Molecule: ribosomal RNA, 355 nt
Filed under: Escherichia coli
Lineage: Bacteria; Pseudomonadati; Pseudomonadota; Gammaproteobacteria; Enterobacterales; Enterobacteriaceae
Description: partial 23S ribosomal RNA
Rfam family: Bacterial large subunit ribosomal RNA
Source: RNAcentral
GGUUAAGCGACUAAGCGUACACGGUGGAUGCCCUGGCAGUCAGAGGCGAUGAAGGACGUGCUAAUCUGCGAUAAGCGUCGGUAAGGUGAUAUGAACCGUUAUAACCGGCGAUUUCCGAAUGGGGAAACCCAGUGUGUUUCGACACACUAUCAUUAACUGAAUCCAUAGGUUAAUGAGGCGAACCGGGGGAACUGAAACAUCUAAGUACCCCGAGGAAAAGAAAUCAACCGAGAUUCCCCCAGUAGCGGCGAGCGAACGGGGAGGAGCCCAGAGCCUGAAUCAGUGUGUGUGUUAGUGGAAGCGUCUGGAAAGGCGCGCGAUACAGGGUGACAGCCCCGUACACAAAAAUGCACAU